Molecule: unclassified non-coding RNA, 210 nt
Filed under: soil metagenome
Description: partial contains 5.8S ribosomal RNA, internal transcribed spacer 2, and large subunit ribosomal RNA
Source: RNAcentral
AACCAUAGAAACCUGCGGAGUACCUGCGGAAGGAUCAUUACCGAGUUAUACAACUCAUCAACCCUGUGAACAUACCUAUAACGUUGCCUCGGCGGGAACAGACGGCCCCGUAACACGGGCCGCCCCCGCCAGAGGACCCCCUAACUCUGUUUCUAUAAUGUUUCUUCUGAGUAAACAAGCAAAUAAAUUAAAACUUUCAGCAACGGAUCU